Molecule: long non-coding RNA, 346 nt
Organism: Hibiscus syriacus
Lineage: Eukaryota; Viridiplantae; Streptophyta; Magnoliopsida; Malvales; Malvaceae
Exons: 2
Source: RefSeq, a predicted model, not a curated record
AGAUGUAUUGCAGCCUCUGGAUUCACCAACUGAUGGUGUUAUUGACGGGCUUGUGAGGCAGGCUUCAGAAACAAGGGAAGCUCCAAUCCCAUCUGUUUCUAAUAGCCUUCCCCUGCGGACUGCAGCUGCUGUUUCAUCUCGUAUGCCUUUGACUUUGUAUCAUGACCCACUUCAAAUUGAAAUGGAAAGAAUAAUGAAAGAAAAAGAGCAAACCACCAAUAUUCAUGAAGAAUCGAAGCUGCAGCUGAAAUUGGAAUGUGACAAGGAGAAUGAGGUAGUUGUAGCUCAGAUUAGUAGAAAGUAUGAUGUUACAUUUAAGGAGAAAGAAGCAGAGUUUCUUCUCCAG